CUGGGUCCAUGUGAAGUUCUUUCGAAGAGUCGAGUUGUUUGGGAAUGCAGCUAUAAAUGGGUGGUAAAUUUCAUCUAAAGCUAAAUACUGGCCGGAGACCGAUAGCGCACAAGUAGAGUGAUCGAAAGAUGAAAAGCACUUUGAAAAGAGAGUUAAACAGCACGUGAAAUUGUUGAAAGGGAAGCGCUUGCGAUCAGACUCGCCUGCGGGGUUCAGCCGGCAUUCGUGCCGGUGUACUUCCCCGUGGGCGGGCCAGCGUCGGUUCGGGUGGCCGGUCAAAGGCCCCGGGAAUGUGUCGCCCUCCGGGGCGUCUUAUAGCCCGGGGUGCCAUGCGGCCUACCUGGACCGAGGAACGCGCUUCGGCUCGGACGCUGGCGUAAUGGUCGUAAGCGACCCGUCUUGAAACACGGACCAAGGAGUCUAACAUCUACGCGAGUGUUUGGGUGGCAAACCCAUACGCGCAGUGAAAGCGAACGGAGGUGGGAACCCUUCGGGGCGCACCAUCGACCGAUCCUGAUGUCUUCGGAUGGAUUUGAGUAAGAGCGUAGCUGUGGGGACCCGAAAGAUGGUGAACUAUGCCUGAAUAGGGCGAAGCCAGAGGAAACUCUGGUGGAGGCUCGCAGCGGUUCUGACGUGCAAAUCGAUCGUCAAAUUUGGGUAUAGGGGCGAAAGACUAAUCGAACCAUCGU
This 689-nucleotide unclassified non-coding RNA is filed under the name Monascus purpureus. RNAcentral's name for it is "sequence contains 28S rRNA gene". It matches the Rfam family "Eukaryotic large subunit ribosomal RNA", at positions 236 to 946 of the family's 3401-position model. Lineage: Eukaryota; Fungi; Ascomycota; Eurotiomycetes; Eurotiales; Aspergillaceae. The record is from RNAcentral.